RNAcentral lists this small RNA (1150 nucleotides) under Vigna angularis var. angularis. RNAcentral describes it as "Non-protein coding transcript". Lineage: Eukaryota; Viridiplantae; Streptophyta; Magnoliopsida; Fabales; Fabaceae. The record is from RNAcentral.
ACUAUUGUUGUUCGAUAAUGUAAAUCCUAUAUUAUUCUAUUUAAUGAAUAUUUAUUCAAGAUAAGUUUAUGUUAUUCUUAUUGUUAUAAAAGAUAACUUGGACUAUCAAAUUCUUAACUUCCAGGCACCUAGUUGUUUUCUUUGCAUCUUGUGUAGAAGCUGAUUCCAAGGAUUAAAUAGGUUGAGCUUUCCUUCUCAUCCAUUGGAGGCUAUAAUAUACUUGUGAAAAAAUGUUUGUGGUAUACUUUCUUAUUCUUUUGUAUGGAAUUUACUAUGUCCAAUAGCCCAAUAGAUCAUGAUCAUUUAGUCCAGAAACUAAUCAUAUGUUAUCAGAUAAAGAAACAAUUUUAGAUAUGUUGUCUUUUAAUUUAUCGUUUCAACUUUGAUAAGUUGAUCCUUACUAAUGAUGUCAAGAUAAUGAAGUUUGAACUUUAAUAACUUUGAAAAUAUAUGUUUCAAUCAUUAUAGAUUCAACUAUAUACCCCGACAUGUAGUUGAAAAAGUGUUUCCGAGGCAAGUUAUCUCCUCCAAUGUUUUAGAGUACAUAUAGGCGUGAGUAUAAAAUUUCGCCCCUUAAAUGAUUACUGAUUUCUAUUCUUCUUUAUGUAGACUGCUUUGCUCACAUAGGCCUCAAUACUCCAAGGAAAAGUGUGUUAAAAUCAAUGCUUUUUUGCUUUUAUGAUUAUGUGCUUUUAUGCUUCUAUAAUUAUGUAUUCAUCUUGUUCUUUAGUGUAUUCAUGGUAAAUUCAUUUCAUAAUACCUUUAUGCUAGUGGAGAUUACAUCAUUGUGAACCACAUACAUUCAUUUUGUUCAUGUUUCAGUUAACACUUUGGUUAUUCCAAGAUAUGGAGCAAGUGGAGACUAAUCCUUCUUGUACUGACUUAGCAUAUGAGAAGGCUAUUUCAGAUGGUGUGGAUGUUCUUGACUGUCCUGUUUAAAUGUCCAAGGAUGGAAUACGUUUUUGCUUAAGCUAUAUUGAUCUUAUUGGGCUGUAAAGUAUUUAUUAUUAUCUGUGCAAUUUUCUGUUGUUGCUUUCAUCUCUAAAUUGUACUAAUGUAUCGUGUUGUGCAUGGCAGAGGCAGAACUCCUUACAGCUCCACCAAGUUGGUACAAAUCCUCUGCUCAAUCACUUUGACAUGAAUGGCACGA